Molecule: ribosomal RNA, 837 nt
Filed under: Vreelandella aquamarina
Lineage: Bacteria; Pseudomonadati; Pseudomonadota; Gammaproteobacteria; Oceanospirillales; Halomonadaceae
Description: bacterial SSU rRNA
Rfam family: Bacterial small subunit ribosomal RNA
Source: RNAcentral
UUGCUGGAUGCUGACGAGCGGCGGCACGGGUGAGUAAUGCAUAGGAAUCUGCCCGAUAGUGGGGGAUAACCUGGGGAAACCCAGGCUAAUACCGCAUACGUCCUACGGGAGAAAGGGGGCUCCGGCUCCCGCUAUGGGAUGAGCCUAUGUCGGAUUAGCUAGUUGGUGAGGUAACGGCUCACCAAGGCCACGAUCCGUAGCUGGUCUGAGAGGAUGAUCAGCCACAUCGGGACUGAGACACGGCCCGAACUCCUACGGGAGGCAGCAGUGGGGAAUAUUGGACAAUGGGCGCAAGCCUGAUCCAGCCAUGCCGCGUGUGUGAAGAAGGCCCUCGGGUUGUAAAGCACUUUCAGCGAGGAAGAACGCCUAGCGGUUAAUACCCGCUAGGAAAGACAUCACUCGCAGAAGAAGCACCGGCUAACUCCGUGCCAGCAGCCGCGGUAAUACGGAGGGUGCAAGCGUUAAUCGGAAUUACUGGGCGUAAAGCGCGCGUAGGUGGCUUGAUAAGCCGGUUGUGAAAGCCCCGGGCUCAACCUGGGAACGGCAUCCGGAACUGUCAAGCUAGAGUGCAGGAGAGGAAGGUAGAAUUCUCGGUGUAGCGGUGAAAUGCGUAGAGAUCGGGAGGAAUACCAGUGGCGAAGGCGGCCUUCUGGACUGACACUGACACUGAGGUGCGAAAGCGUGGGUAGCAAACAGGAUUAGAUACCCUGGUAGUCCACGCCGUAAACGAUGUCGACCAGCCGUUGGGUGCCUAGCGCACUUUGUGGCGAAGUUAACGCGAUAAGUCGACCGCCUGGGGGAGUACGGCCGCAAGGGUUAAAAACUCAAAUGAAUUGA